RNAcentral lists this ribosomal RNA (311 nucleotides) under uncultured bacterium. RNAcentral describes it as "bacterial SSU rRNA". It matches the Rfam family "Bacterial small subunit ribosomal RNA", at positions 29 to 372 of the family's 1533-position model. The record is from RNAcentral.
AACGAACGCUGGCGGCAGGCUUAACACAUGCAAGUCGAACGCCCCGCAAGGGGAGUGGCAGACGGGUGAGUAACGCGUGGGAACGUGCCCUUCGCUUCGGAAUAGCCCCGGGAAACUGGGAGUAAUACCGGAUACGCCGUAUUGGGAAAGAUUUAUCGGCGAAGGAUCGGCCCGCGUUAGAUUAGCUAGUUGGCGUGUAAUGGACCACCAAGGCUACGAUCUAUAGCUGGUCUGAGAGGAUGAUCAGCCACACUGGGACUGAGACACGGCCCAGACUCCUACGGGAGGCAGCAGUGGGAAUCUUGGACAAU